UUGAGGAGGCGGUGACCGUGUAGGUGGAGGAGGAGGAUGAGGUAGCCAACACUGUUAUACAUAACACACAAUUAAAAAAAAAUAUAUAUAUAUAUAUAUAUAUAUAUAUUUAUUUUUUUUUAAUUUUUUUUUUCAAUUGUGGUAGCCUCCAAAAAUUGGGACAUAUAAAAAAAGACAACUCUAUUCCGCAGAGUAGCUGUUGAUAUUCUAGUUGCUUUGUCCCGAGGUUCUCUAGAGUCAAUAAUCACACAUCCCCGUGAUGGUGACUUUGCAUUCGGAUGUCAUCCAUAUCAACUUUCGAUGCCAGUUUCUGCGCCUACCAUGGUGACCAUGGGUAACGAGGAAUCCGGGUUCCAUUCCAUACAGGGACCCUGAGAAACGGCUACCACAUGCAAGGAAGGCAGCAGGCGCGCAAAUGACCCACUCCCGACACGGGAAGGUAGUGACAACAAAUAACAAUACAGGAUUCUUUAGAGGCCCUGUAAUUGUAAUGAGUCCACUUGAAAUCCUUUAACUCUGAUCAAUUGGAGGGAAGUCUGGUGCAGAGCCACUGACCCGUGCGUGCUGCAGCUGAAACUCUAUCGCCUGCUGCUG
Non-coding RNA from Pelobates cultripes (western spadefoot toad), 594 nucleotides. The record is from the annotation of a GenBank genome assembly. Lineage: Eukaryota; Metazoa; Chordata; Amphibia; Anura; Pelobatidae.